GCAGUAGCCGCGGGAACACGUAGGUGGCAAGCGUUAUCCGGAAUUAUUGGGCGUAAAGCGCGCGUAGGCGGUUUUUUAAGUCUGAUGUGAAAGCCCACGGCUCAACCGUGGAGGGUCAUUGGAAACUGAAAAACUUGAGUGCAGAAGAGGAAAGUGGAAUUCCAUGUGUAGCGGUGAAAUGCGCAGAGAUAUGGAGGAACACCAGUGGCGAAGGCGACUUUCUGGUCUGUAACUGACGCUGAUGUGCGAAAGCGUGGGGAUCAAACAGGAUUAGAUACCCCUGUAGUCCCUGUCUCUUAUAC
This 302-nucleotide ribosomal RNA is filed under the name uncultured bacterium. RNAcentral's name for it is "partial 16S ribosomal RNA". It matches the Rfam family "Bacterial small subunit ribosomal RNA", at positions 508 to 807 of the family's 1533-position model. The record is from RNAcentral.